This 1501-nucleotide ribosomal RNA is filed under the name uncultured bacterium. RNAcentral's name for it is "bacterial SSU rRNA". It matches the Rfam family "Bacterial small subunit ribosomal RNA". The record is from RNAcentral.
UAGAGUUUGAUCCUGGCUCAGGAUGAACGCUAGCGGCGUGCCUAAUGCAUGCAAGUCGAACGGGAUUCCCUGACUUCGGUUGGGGAUGAGAGUGGCGCACGGGUGAGUAACACGUAGGUGACCUGCCCUCGGGAGGGGGACAACCAGUGGAAACGCUGGCUAAUACCCCGGAUGUCAAUCUAGUUAGAGAGGAAUGACUAAAGCUCCGGUGCCCGAGGAGGGGCCUGCGACCCAUCAGCUAGUUGGUAGGGUAAAAGCCUACCAAGGCAAAGACGGGUAGGGGGCGUGAGAGCGUGGCCCCCCACACUGGUACUGACACACGGACCAGAUACCUACGGGUAGCAGCAGCAAGGAAUAUUGCGCAAUGGGGGAAACCCUGACGCAGCAACGCCGCGUGGAGGAUGAAGGCCUUCGGGUUGUAAACUCCUUUUCUGGGGGAAGAGAAAGGACGGUACCCCAGGAAUAAGGCCCGGCUAACUACGUGCCAGCAGCCGCGGUAAAACGUAGGGGCCAAGCGUUAUCCGGAAUUACUGGGCGUAAAGGGCGCGUAGGCGGUUACUUAAGUUGGACGUGAAAGCUCCUGGCUCAACUGGGAGAGGUCGUUCAAAACUGGGUAAACUAGAGGAUGGUAAGGCGAGUGGAAUUCCCGGUGUAUGGUGAAAUGCGUAAUUUCGGGAGGAACACCAUUGGCGAAGGCGGCUCGCUGGGCCAUAACUGACGCUGAGGCGCGAAAAGCCAGGGGAGAGAACGGGAUUUAGAAACCCCGGUAUUCCUGGCCGUAAACGAUGUCAACUAAGUGUAGAGAGCCGUAAAGGUUAGCUGUGCUGAAGCAAAACGCGAUAAGUUGACCGCCUGGGGAGUACGGCCGCAAGGCUAAAACUCAAAGGAAUUGACGGGGGCCCGCACAAGCAAGCGGAGCGUGUGGUUUAAUUCGAGGCUACGCGAAGAACCUUACCAGGGUUUGACAUGCACGUGGUAGGCAUUGGAAACAAUGCUGACCCUUCGGGGAGCGUGCACAGGUGCUGCAUGGCUGUCGUCAGCUCGUGCCGUGAGGUGUUAGGUUAAGUCCUGUAACGAGCGCAACCCUCGUCGUUAGUUAUACGUGUCUAACGAGACUGCCGGUGAUAAGCCGGAGGAAGGUGGGGAUGACGUCAAGUCAGCAUGGCCUAUAUAUCCUGGGCUACACACACGCUACAAUGGCCGGUACAAUGGGCAGCGAAAUCGCGAGAUGAAGCCAAUCCUGAAAAGCCGGUCUCAGUUCGGAUUGCAGGCUGCAACUCGCCUGCAUGAAGUCGGAGUUGCUAGUAAACGCGCGUCAGCCACAGUGCGUUGAAUACGUUCCCGAGCCUUGUACACACCGCCCGUCACGUCAUGGAAGUUGGCAACGCCUGAAGUCGGUGGGCUAACCCUCACGGGAGGCAGCCGCCUAAGGCGGGGUCGGUAACUGGGACGAAGUCGUUACAAGGUAGCUGUAGCGGAAGCUGCGGCUGGAUCACCUCCU